GUGCAGCUCACCUGGAACACAGGACAACCUGUGACCCUGCAGCUCACCUGGGCUGACGGGUCCUCAGCAUACAGGACCACCUGGGACGGCUGCCUGGCCGCCUCCCCGGGGCAGGUAUGUGGGGCCUGACUGCUGCACCAAGUGUGGGGCUCCCCUUCGCUCCAGGCUUCUCGGCUGGCCCCUCAGGUCAUGUACCUUCUUCUAUUCCCUAUCAGCUCCAGGAAGCUUGGGGCCUGGACACCCUCCAGGCCUGCGGGGCCUUAAUGCAGACCCCAGCUGUGUUCGUUGAACAGCUCGACCUGUCCUGGGGCCAACACCGCAUAUGGCAGAACUUGACAUACGAGAGGCACCGGCCAUCUCAGCCAGGCAGGAUCAUCGCGGAGGCCACCCUGGAGCAUGUCCUCGGAACCUUUUGUACCCGGCAGAGCUUCCGGGGAGAAGUACAGACUGACUAUGCACGCUGGCUGCGGCACUCCCUCCACCUGGGGCUCUGUGACCUGCCCAGGCUUCAUGGCUCCAAGGCUCAGCGGGUUGGCCUACUGGGCCGUGUCUCCACCUCGGCUUCUCAAAGCCUGGUCCGACUGGAGGGAAAUGUGGACAACAGAGACGAGAAAGUGAGACUGUCUGUGUUCCGGGCCCCAAGCUGUCUCCAGGCCUCUGUGGCACAUGAGGAGGGGGGCAGAGAGGAGAGUGUGGUGCUGCGGGCAUGUGCCCACGGGCGGACAGCUGAGGUGGAGGUCCUGUUCCGGGAUGGCAGGCAGCCCUUCCAGCCGCUGGGACACCUGACCCUGCAGGCUGCCAACCACAGCCUCCUGCUGGCUGCGCACGGCUGUCGGGGGGUCCUGCUGGGCCAUGUGGAGUCCAGGAUCAUAGCAGUUGGCUCCCAGGUGCAAGCCCAACUGGAAGACAAGAUUCAAGGCUUGGGUGCCUCUGUGAGAAGGUUCCAGCAAUUGGUGCAGCUGGCAGGCACCCUGGACGGCGUGGCAGGCCUCCUUCUGCAGCUGUCCCAGGUGGGGCGGGAGGCCGUGCAGGCGAGUGGUUGGGCGGUAGCCACGUUGUGGGCCCGGAGCCAGGCCCUGACCCAGUACCUGCUUCUUUACCUGGAGUGGCUGCAGGUGGGGCUGGAGCAGCUGCGGGAUGAGCUGGAAUGGCCCCUGGCCACACUGAAGGACGCCUACCUGGAGGUGACACUGCGGCCCCUGGAGGAGGUGUGGCGGGAGCGGGCAGAGGAGGCCAUGCGGCGGCUGCAGGCCUGGGUGCCCGGGAUGCCAAGCAAUGGGGGUCCCAGGCCCAUCAGGGUGGCCCUGGGGGCGGUGAAAGGAACCCUGGAGCUGGCCGCCCACCAGCUGCUGUCCUGGGCUGAGGCCACGUUCUCACGGGCACUGAAGAGGCUCUGCAAACCCCUACUGGACCUGUACAGCCUCUCGGCCAGAAACCGCUCAGUGGUGGUGACACUGCCACUGCUGCCUGUGGGGGAUGAGCCCCUCGAUGUGGCCCAGGUGACCAGCUACCUGGUGGAGAAGCUGCUGCGGCCGCUCCGAGAGCUGUCUGGGGCCAACAUGCUGGCCGAGUACUACCGGCUCAGACGCCGCCUGCUGGAGGGCCCCUGGGACUACCAUGCCCUGGUAGCUGGGGCCCAGCACGUGGUUACCUUCGACGGCCGGGUAUGGGACCUCAGCGCCCAGUGUGGCAGCAUCCUCCUGGCCCAGGACUUUGCUCACAACACAUUCUCACUGACACGGAGUCGGACAGGCUCGGGGCUCACGGCCCUGUCCGUGGAGCUAAACCACAUGACCCUCGUCUUCUACCCCAGUCUGCAGGCCUACAGACUGUACAACUCCUCCGUGCCGGGGGAGAGCUGUCCGGACCUCGAGCUGCAUCCUACCACGACAAGGAGGAACGUCCCCAGGAUUGAGCUGGCCAGUGAGGACGGGGUCUCUGUCUCCUGUGACGUGCCCACCGGCGUCUGCAGCCUGACUCUGGGCCUCUGGCACCAUGGUAUAUCUGCUGGUCUUCUAGGCACCAAUGACAAUGAAGCAGGCAAUGAGAUGAUGUUGCCAGACGGCUCUGUGGCCCGCAGCCUGGAGCAGCUCAGCCUGGCCUGGCAGGUGGGUGGUGACUGCAGGGCCACUGAGAAGACUCAGCAGGCCUGCCGAGAACAGAGCCCCACCUGCCGGGCCUUCUUCGAGGACCCCCACUCCAGCUUGAGGAGCUGCUUCUGGGUGGUGAGUAUAAGCCUGGCCCAUGCAGUGCAGAAGACCCUUUCCCUGAUCUAG
Long non-coding RNA from Piliocolobus tephrosceles (Ugandan red Colobus), 2276 nucleotides. NCBI's taxonomy places the organism in Eukaryota, Metazoa, Chordata, Mammalia, Primates, Cercopithecidae. The record is from Ensembl.